AGAUUUUAGAGGAAGGAGAAGUCGUAACAAGGUUUCUGUAGGUGAACCUGCAGAAGGAUCAUUUGCACAUGUGUAGCCAACUGCAUGCUAAUGAUAUUGUGGGCAACUGUAAGCAUGUAUUGCAAUGGACUUGCACUUGCCCUGGGCAGCAUGAUUUGUUUUUCAAGCAUGUGUGCUGUAGUGUGUGAUGUGUUUUGUAAACUGUUUGCAUUUCUCUAGUUGCUGCAACAAUUAUGUUUUGCAAGGAAUGUCUUAGCUCAAUAAAUGAUGAAGAAUGCAGCAAAAUGCAAUAUGCAUUGCGAAUUGCAGAAUUCCGUGAGCUAACAGAUGUUUGAAUGUUACUUGUACCUUUGGGAUAUUCUUGAAGGUUUGCUUGGUUUAAUGCAAAGUAGCUUUCAUAUACAUUUAAUGCUGAUUAGCAUUGUUGUGAACAAUAAAGGUCAAUGUUUUGCAUUGAACCUGGAUGUCAUACAGUUGUUUACAACCUAAACAUGGUUUCGUGGGGCAGACCUGUUUCGUCAUUUGAUGGUUGAUAUUGUAAAUGUGCACAACUGGGACAAGCUGAAGACUUGCAUAUGCUAAGCGUGAAGUGAAGCACAUAAACCUGCUGAAUUUAAGCAUAUAAGUAAGUGGUGGAAAUUAAACCAAU
This 649-nucleotide ribosomal RNA is filed under the name Alexandrium tamarense. RNAcentral's name for it is "eukaryotic LSU rRNA". The stretch from base 233 to 387 matches the Rfam family "5.8S ribosomal RNA". Lineage: Eukaryota; Dinophyceae; Gonyaulacales; Pyrocystaceae. The record is from RNAcentral.